GCCUGCUUAGCAUAGUGGCUAAUGCGUUGCACUUGUAUAACCUUGUCCCUUAGAUCCGUGGGUAACUCCCAAAGAAAAGUGGGUCAUUGUCUCGACAUGCAAAGAUCACAGGUUCGAUUCCUGUAGUAGGCA
Neurospora crassa OR74A is the source of this 132-nucleotide transfer RNA. It matches the Rfam family "tRNA". From Rfam's summary of the family: Transfer RNA (tRNA) molecules are approximately 80 nucleotides in length. The record is from Rfam. NCBI's taxonomy places the organism in Eukaryota, Fungi, Ascomycota, Sordariomycetes, Sordariales, Sordariaceae.